UGGGGAAUAUUGGACAAUGGGCGCAAGCCUGAUCCAGCCAUGCCGCGUGUGUGAAGAAGGCCUUUUGGUUGUAAAGCACUUUAAGCGAGGAGGAGGCUACUUGGAUUAAUACUCUAGGAUAGUGGACGUUACUCGCAGAAUAAGCACCGGCUAACUCUGUGCCAGCAGCCGCGGUAAUACAGAGGGUGCGAGCGUUAAUCGGAUUUACUGGGCGUAAAGCGUGCGUAGGCGGCUUCUUAAGUCGGAUGUGAAAUCCCUGAGCUUAACUUAGGAAUUGCAUUCGAUACUGGGAAGCUAGAGUAUGGGAGAUGAUGGUAGAAUUCCAGGUGGAGCGGUGAAAUGCGUACAGAUCUGGAGGAAGACCGAUGGCGAAGGCAGCCAUCUGGCCUAAUACUGACGCUGAGGUACGAAAGCAUGGGGAGCAAACAGG
RNAcentral lists this ribosomal RNA (430 nucleotides) under bacterium. Its description in RNAcentral is "partial 16S ribosomal RNA". It matches the Rfam family "Bacterial small subunit ribosomal RNA", at positions 355 to 776 of the family's 1533-position model. The record is from RNAcentral.